ACUGCUUCCUGCUAACGCACAUCUGAGUAGUAGCAGGUGACGGCUCCAGGUACUUGGGUCCCCGACACUCAUCUGGGAAACUCAGAUGGACCUCCAGCUCCUGCCUUUGGUCUGGUGCAAUCCAGCUGUUUUGGGCACUUGAGAAGUGAAUUAGGGGAUGGGAGAUCUCUAUCUGUCUCACUGUCUCUCUCUCUCUGCCUUUCGUAUAAAAAAAAAAGGCCUCAUUUUCAAUUUGAACUGCAAACAACUCCACAUUAAAAAUGAAAAGGUUCAUAGCCCACAAGAGCUACAUCAGCCUGGUGCAAGCUGCGACCUCAAGCCUCCAUAGUCAUUCUUUCUCUGAAUGGGCAGGCCCUGACUAUUACCUUGCUCUGCCCACUUAAUUUUUGCAAAGAAAAUUUCACAUGUAGCAGCCAGUUCCCUGAAGUGAAGAUUUCCUUAUGACUUUCACAGUGCCAGUUAAGUAAGAUAUCCACAUAUCUUUGUUAACAGCCACUUAACAACUUUGCAUCAUUUAAAAUGCCAGGCCAAUGAGCUGACGGUGGCCCUAGAAGGUGGCCCUAGAAGAUAACAGCAUUCAGGCGGGGGCCAGAAAUUGAUACUUCCAGUCAUUCUUGGUGGUUUGCCUGCACCGACUUUGUGAGCCAGCUCAUGAUCUCAGGAUGUAUGAAAAAAUAACAAUUGCACUACUAUUGUUCGGUUUCAUUACUACAGCACCUGCCAACUUCACAGCUUCAACAUUAAAUAAUGAAAAACAAGACAUUACUUCUGAACAUACGGUUUUAGCAACAAAAUCAAGUAGGACCUCUUUUUUUUGCUUUUUUUUUUUUUUUUUUUUUUUGAAAACAAGUAAGAACCUAUUUGGGAAGUACAUUUUUAAGUAUUUUCCCUACCUUUUCUUUAUAGGUUCUGUUUCUACAUCGACUGCCAAACUCUGGUCUUCAACCUUAAGUAAUGGAAAAACUGACCCAACAAAAUCAAGUUCUGUUUCUACAUCGACUGCCAAACUCUGGUCUUCAACCUUAAGUAGUGGAAAAACUGACCCAACAAAACCAAGUGUUGUUUCCACACAGCUCAGAACACCUGUCAAAGCUCUCAACGAAACAGAACGUGGAAAUGGCAAUGGUUCUGUAGAAAAGCCAGAUGUUGUUUCCACACAGCUCAGAACACCUGUCAAAGCUCUCAACGAAACAGAACGUGGAAAUGGCAAUGGUUCUGUAGAAAAGCCAGGUUUGUUUUUAUUCUUGUAUGGUUUCUCUGGAGUCCCUUUUGGAACACCACUGUAUUGAAUGGGACCUGCCAUUGUAUGGACACUGUGACAAACAAGAAAUGGAAGCUGAGUUGAUGGUCCCUACUGCAGGACAAUGCUCACUUCUGAGAUAUCUCACAGAAAUAAUCCUAUGGUUAAGGAAAACAAAAUAAUCUAAGGGAGCACAGAAGGAAUGAAUGAAAUGGUGACCUGAUGAAGGGGUCCCAUAAUGCAGUGAUGGAUGAAGAGGACCAGUGGGAAAAUCCAGAUGGGCUCAGGGCUGGGCUGGUCCUGUGCCAGCUACUGACCCAGGGGUGAACUCCCUGUCUAAAUUUCAAAGUGGGACCAGUAAUCCUUGCCUUGCAGUGUUUCUCUAAAGAUUGAAUAAGACGAUGUAUGCAUAAGUGUUAAGCUCAGAGCCUGACAUAGCAUCAGUCCCUCAUAGAUGAUAUCUGUAAGCCAAGCUGUGUGCUGAGAUCAGCAUGGUCAGAGAGUGUUCACUCCCUCUCAUUAUUUUUCUAGGGAGAACAUGGCUUUAUAGUAGAAAGGGCAGGGGGAUCUUCUCUAUGUGGGAUUCAAGAAGGAUACCCCAGAUUUAAAAUACAACCUGAAAGAAGACUUAGAGAGGCCACAGGACCACAAGCUAAUAGAAUUGUUGAGCAAAUGCACAGAGACCAACGGAGGCAAUGGGUUUUAAGUAGAACAAAAGCCAAGGGAGGGAAAUUGGGAUGACAUUAGAGAAAUCAGAAGUAGUUAUUAAGCUCCUGGGUCCAGUUAGACAACUUCACUUUCAAAUGAUUUCCAAGUGAAGCCAACGUGAUGGUGUGAUAUGGGAAGCACUGAAGGGCUACAUGCCCGGUGUCCUAUAAAUGAUGACUGCAUGGUGGGGCAUUGCACUGAGUGUUUACAUGUGUGACCUAAUCUCAUCCUCAUGAGAACCCAUAACAAGUCAGGGGCAUCCUCACGACUGAAACUCCACCUUUUUUUCCCAAGCCCUUUAAAUGAGGGUAUUUCCAAAAAUUCAUAGAAAAUAGAAUUAAAAUAUAGGUUUUUUUGUUGCAAAAUUUUUGAAAUCCAUUCCUAGUUUCUUCAUUGUAUUCACUUUCAUGAACUUUUUGAAGACUCCUCACACUAACUACCAGCAUUGACUGUAUAUUACAGUAUGUGCUUGUGGGUGAUCCUGUGAGGUUGCCUGCCCUGACCAUGCAAGAUCUUGAGAGGGCAUGGCGCGCUGUGCCCUCUGGGAGAGACCCCCCCCCCACCAGCCUGGCUGCUGGCUGGCAGUGGGAGCCCCAGGCACAUUUCUCCCCACCCCCAGCAAGCAGGUAAACUGCUUCUAGGUGUGGCCAGGCCACCUGGAAAGCCAUCCUAGCUAUGUGACCUUCAAAUGAUUGGGCACGCAUAGCAGUGCCAAUAUCAGCUUCAACCUAUGGAAUUAGUAUUGUCCUCAAUUAGUUAGGCUCCCUCUGUCUGCUCUCUGCUUGGUCGUUAAUAAAGCAGACAUGUUCACCGAACCCUGUCCCUGG
Long non-coding RNA from Oryctolagus cuniculus (rabbit), 2775 nucleotides. The record is from Ensembl. Lineage: Eukaryota; Metazoa; Chordata; Mammalia; Lagomorpha; Leporidae.